CGACGUGGGGUUUAGGGGCGACGUGGGGUUUUAGGGGCGACGUGGGGUUUAGGGGUGACGUGGGGUUUUAGGGGCGACGUGGGGUUUAGGGGUGACGUGGGGUUUUAGGGGUGACGUGGGGUUUUAGGGGCGACGUGGGGUUUAGGGGUGACGUGGGGUUUUAGGGGCGACGUGGGGUUUAGGGGUGACGUGGGGUUUUAGGGGCGACGUGGGGUUUUAGGGGCGACGUGGGGUUUAGGGGCGACGUGGGGUUUUAGGGGCGACGUGGGGUUUUAGGGGCGACGUGGGGUUUUAGGGGCGAUGUGGGGUUUAGGGGCGAUGUGGGGUAGAACGACACUACUGCUCUGUGUUAAGGCUUAGAUAUGGGGAGGCUGUGUUUUACAGCUAGGUGAACAGUAGAGAGAGGGGGGGGCUGUUCUUUACAGCUAGGUGAACAGUAGAGAGAGGGGGGGGCUGUUCUUUACAGCUAGGUGAACAGUAGAGAGAGAGGGGGCUGUUCUUUACAGCUAGGUGAACAGUAGAGAGAGAGGGAGGGGCUGUUCUUUACAGCUAGGUGAACAGUAGAGAGAGAGGGGGCUGUUCUUUACAGCUAGGUGAACAGUAGAGAGAGAGGGGGGCUGUUCUUUACAGCUAGGUGAACAGUAGAGAGAGAGGGGGGGGCUGUUCUUUACAGCUAGGUGAACAGUAGAGAGAGAGGGGGCUGUUCUUUACAGCUAGGUGAACAGUAGAGAGAGAGGGGGG
Molecule: long non-coding RNA, 741 nt
Filed under: Salmo salar (Atlantic salmon)
Lineage: Eukaryota; Metazoa; Chordata; Actinopteri; Salmoniformes; Salmonidae
Description: lncRNA (ENSSSAG00000121367.1)
Source: RNAcentral